Molecule: non-coding RNA, 117 nt
Filed under: Chloropicon mariensis
Lineage: Eukaryota; Viridiplantae; Chlorophyta; Chloropicophyceae; Chloropicales; Chloropicaceae
Source: RNAcentral
AAGACCAAAAAGAAGACCAAAAAGUAAAAACCUAAACACCUAAACAAAUAAAUUGUAAAUACAAUCUUUCUCUUCUUCUUCUCUCUUGUUCUUCUCCUCUUCUGACUUCAAAUGAGU